This 619-nucleotide ribosomal RNA is filed under the name Clostridium sp. Ak3. RNAcentral's name for it is "bacterial SSU rRNA". It matches the Rfam family "Bacterial small subunit ribosomal RNA", at positions 158 to 793 of the family's 1533-position model. The record is from RNAcentral. Lineage: Bacteria; Bacillati; Bacillota; Clostridia; Eubacteriales; Clostridiaceae.
GGAGAUUAAUACCGCAUAACAUUAGUUUUUCGCAUGGAGAACUAAUUAAAGGAGCAAUCCGCUUUGAGAUGGACCCGCGGCGCAUUAGCUAGUUGGUGAGGUAAAGGCUCACCAAGGCGACGAUGCGUAGCCGACCUGAGAGGGUGAUCGGCCACAUUGGAACUGAGACACGGUCCAGACUCCUACGGGAGGCAGCAGUGGGGAAUAUUGCACAAUGGGCGAAAGCCUGAUGCAGCAACGCCGCGUGAGUGAUGAAGGCCUUCGGGUUGUAAAGCUCUGUCUUUUGGGACGAUAAUGACGGUACCAAAGGAGGAAGCCACGGCUAACUACGUGCCAGCAGCCGCGGUAAUACGUAGGUGGCGAGCGUUGUCCGGAUUUACUGGGCGUAAAGGAUGCGUAGGCGGAUUUUUAAGUGAGAUGUGAAAUACCCGGGCUUAACUUGGGUGCUGCAUUUCAAACUGGAAGUCUAGAGUGCGGGAGAGGAGAGUGGAAUUCCUAGUGUAGCGGUGAAAUGCGUAGAGAUUAGGAAGAACACCAGUGGCGAAGGCGACUCUCUGGACCGUAACUGACGCUGAGGCAUGAAAGCGUGCGUAGCAAACAGGAUUAGAUACCCUGGUAG